UACAGAGGUCUCAAGCGUUGUUCGGAUUCAUUGGGCGUAAAGGGCGUGUAGGUGGCGCCGUAAGUCGGGUGUGAAAUUUCGGAGCUUAACUCCGAAACUGCAUUCGAUACUGCGGUGCUUGAGGACUGGAGAGGAGACUGGAAUUCAUGGUGUAGCAGUGAAAUGCGUAGAGAUCAUGAGGAAGACCAGUGGCGAAGGCGGGUCUCUGGACAGUUCCUGACACUGAGACGCGAAAGCGUGGGGAGCGAACAGG
This 253-nucleotide ribosomal RNA is filed under the name uncultured bacterium. RNAcentral's name for it is "partial 16S ribosomal RNA". It matches the Rfam family "Bacterial small subunit ribosomal RNA", at positions 524 to 776 of the family's 1533-position model. The record is from RNAcentral.